This is a long non-coding RNA of Acipenser ruthenus (sterlet), 777 nucleotides long. RefSeq lists it as uncharacterized. The transcript has 4 exons. Lineage: Eukaryota; Metazoa; Chordata; Actinopteri; Acipenseriformes; Acipenseridae. The record is from RefSeq and is a predicted model, not a curated record.
ACGACUUCUAUGGAGCUCGGGAUUACCCUGUUGUGAAGUACUUGCGAAGACCCUUGUAUUUUGAGGUAGAGCUCCUGUACAGCAGGGAUCCACAGGCUGAAUUGUUUUUGGAGAACUGCUGGGCAACCUAUUCUGCUGACAGGAAUAGCUCUCCAAAGUGGGAUGUUGUUGUGGACAGCUGUGAAAACUCUGCAGAUGAGUACUUGACCAUCUUUCACCCAGUCUCCAGCAAUGCAAGAGUGCUGUUCCCUUCCCAUGUGAAGAGGUUUGAAGGUUUGCUGCUUGCUUUGCAAGCAGCAAAUAAUCACUGUGCUCAAAUCUUUAGUGAGUUUGGAAUGAAAACAAAUAACUGCACUUUUGCAAGAAACACUUACUAUGAUGCAAUAUAUUUGUUUUUCAAUUCAGUAAUCCUCAUUGGAUGAUGGUCCUGCCUGAUCUAUUGAUGCUUGUUUUGCUUGACAAGGUGUGCUGUCUUUCAGAUUUACUUCCACUGCAGUGUUGUGGUAUGUGAUUCAAACCGGCCAUCAGACAGCCUCUGUAGUAGACGGUGCAUUCCAGGAAAACAGAGGCUUGGUCGCAGUGCUGAAGGGAUGGAUGGUGGUGCAGUAAAGGCAUUUGUGUCUUCUGGCCCAAUUGAGCUGAAGAGAGAUGGAUCCCUUCACUUUAUGCCUAGAAGCGGCCAAGUCAAUGUGUGGUCCCUUCUGGGAGCUGCAAUGGGUGUGUGUUCAGUGGUUGUCUUUGUAGCUGGAGUUGUAUAUUUUUGGAAAAUGCCCAAAA